RNAcentral lists this ribosomal RNA (253 nucleotides) under uncultured bacterium. Its description in RNAcentral is "partial 16S ribosomal RNA". It matches the Rfam family "Bacterial small subunit ribosomal RNA", at positions 524 to 776 of the family's 1533-position model. The record is from RNAcentral.
UACGUAGGGUGCAAGCGUUGUCCGGAAUUAUUGGGCGUAAAGAGCUCGUAGGCGGCCAGUCACGUCGGGUGUGAAAAUCCGGGGCUUAACCCCGGACUUGCAUCCGAUACGGGCUGGCUAGAGUUCGGUAGGGGAGACUGGAAUUCCUGGUGUAGCGGUGAAAUGCGCAGAUAUCAGGAGGAACACCGGUGGCGAAGGCGGGUCUCUGGGCCGAUACUGACGCUGAGGAGCGAAAGCGUGGGGAGCGAACAGG